UUACGACCACAUCUCGUUGACACACCGGUUCUCGUACGAACACCAAAGUCAAGCAGCAUUGAGCCUGGUCGGUACCGAGAUGGGUGACCACUUGUGAAUACAGG
Non-coding RNA from Acanthosepion pharaonis, 104 nucleotides. NCBI's taxonomy places the organism in Eukaryota, Metazoa, Mollusca, Cephalopoda, Sepiida, Sepiidae. The record is from the annotation of a GenBank genome assembly.